GUUUCCUCAACUAUGGAUUCAUUACUCUGUGUGUAUGGUAUUUUGCAGUGGCUAGUAUCCAACAGUAAUGAAGAGUUAUUGUCUGCUCUUUGGGUUCCUGUAAGGUCAUCUUCCUCUUGAAAUUGAAUGGGAAAAUGCUUUUUCUCAUCAACGAUAGAAUUUGAUAAAAUCUCAGGAUUUGGUUGGUCAGGGGUUGAAGCUGCGUUUGGCAAAGAUUGGUUGUCACUUGAUGUUGAUGCAGAAAAACAAGGAAUUGCUGCGCUGACGUCUGGGGCCCCUUUGAUGUUGUC
This 290-nucleotide long non-coding RNA is filed under the name Phoenix dactylifera (date palm). Its description in RNAcentral is "long non-coding RNA (PDAC_LNC008506)". The record is from RNAcentral. Lineage: Eukaryota; Viridiplantae; Streptophyta; Magnoliopsida; Arecales; Arecaceae.